This 473-nucleotide ribosomal RNA is filed under the name uncultured bacterium. RNAcentral describes it as "bacterial SSU rRNA". It matches the Rfam family "Bacterial small subunit ribosomal RNA", at positions 355 to 825 of the family's 1533-position model. The record is from RNAcentral.
UAGGGAAUUUUGGGCAAUGGGCGAAAGCCUGACCCAGCAACGCCGCGUGUGGGAUGAAGGCCCUCGGGUCGUAAACCACUGUCAGGAGGAAAGAAAAGUCGGCCGGAUAAUACUCGGUCGACCUGACGGUACCUCCAAAGGAAGCACCGGCUAACUCCGUGCCAGCAGCCGCGGUAAUACGGAGGGUGCAAGCGUUGUUCGGAAUUACUGGGCGUAAAGCGCGUGUAGGUGGUCGAGUAAGUCGAAUGUGAAAGCCCCGGGCUCAACCCGGGAAGUGCAUCCGAAACUGCUCGACUAGAGUCCCGGAGAGGAAGGCAGAAUUCCCAAUGUAGGGGUGAAAUCCGUAGAUAUUGGGAGGAAUACCGGUGGCGAAGGCGGCCUUCUGGACGGUGACUGACACUCAGACGCGAAAGCGUGGGGAGCAAACAGGAUUAGAUACCCUUGUAGUCCCUGAGCGGGCUGGCAAGGCGCAU